RNAcentral lists this ribosomal RNA (124 nucleotides) under Lacticaseibacillus casei UW4. RNAcentral's name for it is "Lactobacillus casei UW4 partial 23S ribosomal RNA". It matches the Rfam family "Bacterial large subunit ribosomal RNA", at positions 2801 to 2925 of the family's 2925-position model. The record is from RNAcentral. Lineage: Bacteria; Bacillati; Bacillota; Bacilli; Lactobacillales; Lactobacillaceae.
GAGAUGAGAUUCCCAUUCCUAUAUGGAAGUAAGACCCUGAGAGAUGAUCAGGUAGAUAGGCUGGAAGUGGAAGUGCAGCGAUGCAUGGAGCGGACCAGUACUAAUCGGUCGAGGACUUAACCAA